CUGCUUCCAGAUUGAGCUCAGAUUCCCUCUGCAUCACCCACCCGCCUGCACGCUGCCCUCCCGUUGGGGGACGAUUCCACGUCAACUCUGCGAGUUUAGGGUUAACAGGGAAGCCCGCAUCCACUGCUAUGCCCCUCGUGUUGAUCACGGUUGAUGACGUAGACAACUUUCUCAAGUCACAAUUAGGGGGAUAACAAUGGCAGGAAUGAUCUCCCUCCCCUCUCUCUGGCUCACCUUUUCUUGCUCUCCACAGCACCGACGGGUAUCCCUCGCUUUUGAAAAAACUGCGUUAUGCCACUUUACCUUUCCAGAACACCUACAUUAGUCCCUGUUUCCACUAAUUAAAAGGAAUCCAAAGAGGAUUUUUUUUUUUUUUUUUUUUUUUUUUUUUGCCUGUACAAAAAAAAGGCAAAAAGUGAAAAGGGUUCAGCGUCGGUUUUGCAACAAAGCUGUUGCAGAGGCAGCUCCGGAACGGGGAGAGUGGCGCCACCCAGCGUCUUUCCCUGGAACUACACUCGGCCUCUCGGCAUCUCAGCAUCUCAGAUUCUCCCCAUCAAACCGCCGGCACUUUGCCCUGUGUGCGCAUCUGUGCCCCAUCUCCAUUUACUUUGUCCGCUAGCAAGCUGUGGCCUAAGUGUGUCUUUUGCCCUUGAAUAUGACAUUUGCCAUGGAUCUGAAAGUGCCUGCGAGCAUGCUUAUCUGAAAACCUCAUUAAGGAACCCAUCGCAGGCGAUGGUGAUCCCACAGCUGAAUCACAGAAUCAUGUGGCAUUGCAUGCGGAAGAAAGGUGGAGAACUAUAUUCUCAUUUUUGUUUUGUUUCUUGAAUAGAAUUUCCUUCACUUGGCCACAAACAGCAGCUAAAAACUGAGGAUGUGAAUACUUUCAGGUUCUCCUAAUAUCACUCAGCUUUAUUUCAACUUUAUCUGAACUGAAAAAAGGGAAGAAAGAGCAUUAAUUAAUUGCCAACUUUGUAUCAAGCAUUAAGAUAGGCGUUUUUGCAUCCAUUAGCUCAUUAACCAUUACUGUGAUGGAUCGGCAGAGGCUGUUCAUUUAUCUAUCAUUGUGUGACAAUGGCCUCAACUCUCAAUGGCUUAAAUAACUUUUUUUUUUUUUUGGUCCAUUUUCAUGAGUUGACUGGGCUCAGCUGGUAAUUCUCGCUUGGAUUCUGUCAUGGGAUUGCAGCUAGAUAGUAACUACGGAUAGAGUCCCCGGAAGGUGCAAAAUAGGCUGAUGUCCAACAUGGCUCAUUCACUAGACUGGUAAGUGAUGUCGUUAUUGUGGAACCAUCCAACAGGGUGCCUACACAUGGCCUCUUCUUACAGUAUGAUGUCUGGGUUUUGACAGAAGGUGUCCCAAGAAUAAGUGUUCAUGAGAAAGGAAGUAGGAGCUCCGGGCCAAUUAACAGCAAUGUCUAAACUGGGGAAUGAUCAUUUCCAAUGAAUUCUAUUGGCCAAAGAAGCCAUAUUGCCAGUCCAGAUUCAAAAGAGUAGAGCAAUAAACCCCCACCUCUUGAAAGGGGAUGGGCA
Molecule: long non-coding RNA, 1527 nt
Filed under: Felis catus (domestic cat)
Lineage: Eukaryota; Metazoa; Chordata; Mammalia; Carnivora; Felidae
Description: lncRNA (ENSFCAG00000047447.1)
Source: RNAcentral